RNAcentral lists this long non-coding RNA (204 nucleotides) under Nicotiana benthamiana. RNAcentral describes it as "long non-coding RNA (NBEN_LNC040164)". Lineage: Eukaryota; Viridiplantae; Streptophyta; Magnoliopsida; Solanales; Solanaceae. The record is from RNAcentral.
UCUUACAGUAUCUACAGAACAACAACCCUCUACCUUGAUCAAAGUUGACUCUUUGUUUGAAGAAAGAGAAAGUAUUGGGCAUUGCAGCCUUAUUAGAGUCAACUGGCUUCCUGUUAGAGUAGGCAUUAAAAGAUACAAAAUCCGGAUUAAAAUGAGAGGGAGACUGAAUAUGCCUUUGUUUCUCAUCAUUCAGGAGGAUAUNNN